This 75-nucleotide transfer RNA is filed under the name Ehrlichia canis. RNAcentral's name for it is "tRNA-Gln". It matches the Rfam family "tRNA". From Rfam's summary of the family: Transfer RNA (tRNA) molecules are approximately 80 nucleotides in length. Their secondary structure includes four short double-helical elements and three loops (D, anti-codon, and T loops). Further hydrogen bonds mediate the characteristic L-shaped molecular structure. tRNAs have two regions of fundamental functional importance: the anti-codon, which is responsible for specific mRNA codon recognition, and the 3' end, to which the tRNAs corresponding amino acid is attached (by aminoacyl-tRNA synthetases). tRNAs cope with the degeneracy of the genetic code in two manners: having more than one tRNA (with a specific anti-codon) for a particular amino acid; and 'wobble' base-pairing, i.e. permitting non-standard base-pairing at the 3rd anti-codon position. The record is from RNAcentral. RNAcentral also lists the same sequence under 1 other name. Lineage: Bacteria; Pseudomonadati; Pseudomonadota; Alphaproteobacteria; Rickettsiales; Anaplasmataceae.
UGGGAUGUAGCCAAGUGGUAAGGCAGCGGUUUUUGAUACCGUCAUUCGGAGGUUCGAACCCUUCCAUCCCAGCCG